CUACGGGUUGCUCCAGUGGGGAAUCUUGCGCAAUGGGCGAAAGCCUGACGCAGCAACGCCGCGUGGGGGAUGACGGCCUUCGGGUUGUAAACCCCUUUCAGCAGGGACGAAAAUGACGGUACCUGCAGAAGAGGCCCCGGCCAACUACGUGCCAGCAGCCGCGGUAACACGUAGGGGGCAAGCGUUGUCCGGAUUUAUUGGGCGUAAAGAGCUCGUAGGCGGUUCGGUAAGUCAGGUGUGAAAACUCGAGGCUCAACCUCGAGACGCCACCUGAUACUGCCGUGACUUGAGUCCGGUAGAGGAGCGUGGAAUUCCUGGUGUAGCGGUGAAAUGCGCAGAUAUCAGGAGGAACACCAAUGGCGAAGGCAGCGCUCUGGGCCGGUACUGACGCUGAGGAGCGAAAGCAUGGGGAGCGAACAGGAUUAGAUACCCCUGUAGUC
RNAcentral lists this ribosomal RNA (440 nucleotides) under uncultured bacterium. RNAcentral's name for it is "partial 16S ribosomal RNA". It matches the Rfam family "Bacterial small subunit ribosomal RNA", at positions 339 to 795 of the family's 1533-position model. The record is from RNAcentral.